UCAAGUUAUUAAGGGUGCAGGGCGGAUGCCUUGGCACUAGGAGCCGAUGAAGGACGUGAUAAGCUGCGAUAAGCUUCGGGGAGUUGCACGUAAACUUUGAUCCGAAGAUUUCCGAAUGAGGAAACUCACUUAGAGUAAUGUCUAAGUAUCAUUAAGUGAAUACAUAGCUUAAUGAGGGGAACUCAGGGAACUGAAACAUCUAAGUACCUGAAGGAAGAGAAAGAAAUUCGAUUCCGUAAGUAGCGGCGAGCGAACGCGGAUUAGCCCAAACCAAUAAAGUUUUCUUUAUUGGGGUUGCGGACAUAUCAUAACGAAGAGGUAUCGUAAUUGAAGAGGUUUGGAAAGACCCACCACAGAAGGUAAUAGUCCUGUAUGUUAAACGAGAAGACUUUAGAUAUGAUCCAGAGUACCACGGGACACGUGAAACCCUGUGGGAAGCAGGAGGGACCACCCUCCAAGGCUAAAUACUACCUAGUGACCGAUAGCGUAUAGUACCGUGAGGGAAAGGUGAAAAGAACCCCGGGAGGGGAGUGAAAUAGAACCUGAAACCCUGCACUUACAAGCUGUGGAAGCACAUUUCUUGUGUGACCGCGUACUUUUUGUAGAACGGGCCAACGAGUUACGUUAAGUAGCAAGGUUAAGCACUUAAGGUGUGGAGCCGUAGCGAAAGCGAGUUUUAACUGAGCGUUCAGUUACUUGACGUAGACCCGAAACCGGGCGACCUACCCAUGAGCAGGAUGAAGCGAAAGUAAAAUUUCGUGGAGGUCCGAACCCACGAGCGUUGAAAAGCUCGGGGAUGACUUGUGGGUAGCGGUGAAAUUCCAAUCGAGCCCGGAGAUAGCUGGUUCUCCCCGAAAUAGCUUUAGGGCUAGCCUCAAGGUGAGAGAUACGGAGGUAGAGCACUGAAUGUCCUAGGGGGUAUUGCACCUACCGAAGACUAUCAAACUCCGAAUGCCGUCAUCUUAUACUUGGGAGUCAGACUGUGGGUGAUAAGAUUCAUAGUCGAAAGGGCAACAGCCCAGAUCGUCAGCUAAGGUCCCUAAAUGUAAGUUAAGUGGUAAAGGAUGUGGGAUUGCACAGACAACCAGGAUGUUGGCUUAGAAGCAGCCACUCAUUCAAAGAGUGCGUAAUAGCUCACUGGUCGAGUGAUCCUGCGCCGAAGAUUUCCGGGGCUAAAACUUACUACCGAAGCUACGGCAUCAGUAAUGAUGGGUAGGGGAGCUUCCCAUACGGGUUGAAGCAUGACCGUAAGGACAUGUGGACAGUAUGGGAGUGAGAAUGUUGGCAUGAGUAGCGAGAUGUGGGUGAGAAUCCCACAGGCCGUAAACCCAAGGUUUCCAGGGGAAGGUUCGUCCGCCCUGGGUUAGUCGGGACCUAAGCUGAGGCCGAAAGGCGUAGGUGAUGGACAACAGGUUGAUAUUCCUGUACUACCGAUAACCGUUUGAGAGAAGGGAUGACACAGUAGGAUAAGCUAAGCACACUGUUGGUUAUGUGUGCCCAAGCAUUGAGGCAGUCAAAGUAGGCAAAUCCGCUUUGAUAAUGCUGGGAUGUGAUGGGGAGCGAAAUUUAGUAGCGAAGUAGCUGAUUUCACACUGUCAAGAAAAGUCUCUAUCGAGGUUAAAGGUACCCGUACCGCAAACCGACACAGGUGGGUGAGGAGAGUAUCCUAAGGCCAGCGAGAGAACUGUUGUUAAGGAACUCGGCAAAAUGACCCCGUAACUUAGGGAUAAGGGGUGCCACCAUCAGGUGGCCGCAGAGAAUAGGCCCAAGCGACUGUUUACCAAAAACAUAGGUUUCUGCUAAGUCGCAAGACGAUGUAUAGGAGCUGACGCCUGCCCGGUGCUGGAAGGUUAAGGGGAUCUGUUAGAGCAAUCGAAGCAGUGAACUUAAGCCCCAGUAAACGGCGGCCGUAACUAUAACGGUCCUAAGGUAGCGAAAUUCCUUGUCGGGUAAGUUCCGACCCGCACGAAAGGCGUAACGAUUUGGGCACUGUCUCAACAACAGACUCGGUGAAAUUGUAAUUCCGGUGAAGAUGCCGGAUACCUGCGACAGGACGGAAAGACCCCAUGGAGCUUUACUGUAGCUUGACAUUGGGUCUUGGUACUACAUGUACAGGAUAGGUGGGAGGCUUUGAAACCAGGACGCCAGUUUUGGCGGAGCCAUCCUUGGGAUACCACCCUUGUAGUACUGGGACUCUAACCAUAGGCCAUGAAUCUGGUCUUGGGACACUGUCAGGUGGGCAGUUUGACUGGGGCGGUCGCCUCCCAAAAGGUAACGGAGGCGCUCAAAGGUUCUCUCAGUACGGUCGGAAAUCGUACGUAGAGUGUAAAGGCAAAAGAGAGCUUGAUUGCAAGACAUACAGGUCGAGCAAGGAUGAAAAUCGGACUUAGUGAUCCGGUGGUUCUGCGUGGAAGGGCCAUCGCUCAACGGAUAAAAGCUACCCUGGGGAUAACAGGCUUAUCUCCCCCAAGAGUCCACAUCGACGGGGAGGUUUGGCACCUCGAUGUCGGCUCAUCACAUCCUGGGGCUGUAGUAGGUCCCAAGGGUUGGGCUGUUCGCCCAUUAAAGUGGUACGCGAG
This 2579-nucleotide ribosomal RNA is filed under the name Clostridioides difficile. RNAcentral's name for it is "bacterial LSU rRNA". It matches the Rfam family "Bacterial large subunit ribosomal RNA", at positions 3 to 2604 of the family's 2925-position model. The record is from RNAcentral. Lineage: Bacteria; Bacillati; Bacillota; Clostridia; Peptostreptococcales; Peptostreptococcaceae.